This 501-nucleotide ribosomal RNA is filed under the name uncultured bacterium. Its description in RNAcentral is "partial 16S ribosomal RNA". It matches the Rfam family "Bacterial small subunit ribosomal RNA", at positions 28 to 507 of the family's 1533-position model. The record is from RNAcentral.
GACGAACGCUGGCGGCGUGCCUAAUACAUGCAAGUCGAACGAACCGCGACUAGGUGCUUGCACUUGGUCAAGGUGAGUGGCGAACGGGUGAGUAACACGUGGGUAACCUACCUCAUAGUGGGGGAUAACAGUCGGAAACGACUGCUAAUACCGCAUAGGACAUAGGAUCACAUGAUCCAGUGAGGAAAGGUGGCGCAAGCUAUCGCUAAGAGAUGGACCCGCGGUGCAUUAGCUAGUUGGUAGGGUAAAGGCCUACCAAGGCGAUGAUGCAUAGCCGACCUGAGAGGGUGAUCGGCCACAUUGGGACUGAGACACGGCCCAAACUCCUACGGAGGCAGCAGUAGGGAAUCUUCCGCAAUGGACGCAAGUCUGACGGAGCAACGCCGCGUGAGUGAAGAAGGUCUUCGGAUCGUAAAGCUCUGUUGUUAGAGAAGAACAGCGCAUAGAGUAACUGUUAUGCGUGUGACAGUAUCUAACCAGAAAGCCACGGCUAACUACGUG